ACAUGCCAUAGGGGCUAUUGAUGGGAAACAUGUUAUUAUUCAGGCUCCAAUUAAUUCAGGUUCAGUUUAUUUUAACUACAAAGGAAGUCAUUCAAUUGUCCUUUUAGCAGUGUGUGAUGCACAAUACAAAUUUAUUUUGUUUGAUAUUGGUGGAGCUGGGCGUCAAAGUGAUGGUGGAACUUUAUCUAAUUCACAAUUUGUAAGAGCACUUGAGUCUGAAAUUUUGUCAAUUCCAGAUAACUGUCCUUUACCUGGUACAACUCAUCCAAGUUUACCAUAUGUUGUUGUGGGUGAUGAGGCUUUUCCUUUAUGAAAUAAUAUGCUACGUCCAUAUCCAAAAAGAAA
Amphimedon queenslandica is the source of this 345-nucleotide long non-coding RNA. RefSeq lists it as uncharacterized. The transcript is spliced from 2 exons. NCBI's taxonomy places the organism in Eukaryota, Metazoa, Porifera, Demospongiae, Haplosclerida, Niphatidae. The record is from RefSeq and is a predicted model, not a curated record.